UCCCAUGGCCAUGCCACCCUGAGAACACCUGAUCUUGUCUUAUCUCAGAAGCAAAGCAGGGUUCGGCCUCAUUAGUACUUGAAUGGGAGACUGCUGGAAUACCGUGUGGUUUAGGGGU
RNAcentral lists this ribosomal RNA (118 nucleotides) under Leptosomus discolor (cuckoo roller). Lineage: Eukaryota; Metazoa; Chordata; Aves; Leptosomiformes; Leptosomidae. The record is from RNAcentral.